RNAcentral lists this ribosomal RNA (429 nucleotides) under Bacteroidota bacterium. Its description in RNAcentral is "Bacteroidetes bacterium partial 16S ribosomal RNA". It matches the Rfam family "Bacterial small subunit ribosomal RNA", at positions 355 to 776 of the family's 1533-position model. Lineage: Bacteria; Pseudomonadati; Bacteroidota. The record is from RNAcentral.
UAGGGAAUCUUCGGCAAUGGGGGGAACCCUGACCGAGCAACGCCGCGUGAGUGAAGAAGGUUUUCGGAUCGUAAAGCUCUGUUGUUAAGGAAGAACGAGUGUGAGAAUGGAAAGUUCAUACUGUGACGGUACUUAACCAGAAAGGGACGGCUAACUACGUGCCAGCAGCCGCGGUAAUACGUAGGUCCCGAGCGUUGUCCGGAUUUAUUGGGCGUAAAGCGAGCGCAGGCGGUUAGAAAAGUCUGAAGUGAAAGGCAGUGGCUCAACCAUUGUAGGCUUUGGAAACUGUUUAACUUGAGUGCAGAAGGGGAGAGUGGAAUUCCAUGUGUAGCGGUGAAAUGCGUAGAUAUUAGGAAGAACACCAGUGGCGAAAGCGGCUCUCUGGUCUGUAACUGACGCUGAGGCUCGAAAGCGUGGGGAGCGAACAGG